Molecule: non-coding RNA, 23 nt
Filed under: Cricetulus griseus (Chinese hamster)
Lineage: Eukaryota; Metazoa; Chordata; Mammalia; Rodentia; Cricetidae
Source: RNAcentral
CUGAAUUUCAAAAAUAAGACUGC